UUACUUACCUGAACUGCGCAAAACUUCUUCAAGAUUCAUAAUUUUCGUGGAUUGUAUUUUAAUACCAACUGGUCAACAAUAGGCUAAUCCUUCUCUGUCCAUAAUCGGAAAUCAUAUUCCACGAUUUUGAUAUUCGGUUUAAUAUUACUAGCUAGCUAAAGCCCCCAGCCGUAAACACAUAAUUUUAUCCGAUUGGUAAAUCAAUUUCCUACUGAAAGGCUAAUUUUGAGUACUUAAUUUUAUUGAAUUGUGUGUUAAAUGAAGAUUAAGAAAAAAAGGUGAAAGCAUAAACAAUGGCGUUGUGAUAGAUGUCUGUUAAAGUGUGCGAGGUGUAAUCUAAGAGUUUCAAUCACCGACUUCAACCCCUUCUGGCCGAUUUCAGUGUGGGAUAUCCACUACGUGUCUUUCCGUUUUCCGGCACAUCUUUUUGCUCGAGAGAUGAAUACUCCCUGGUUUCACCAAUGGGAAAUUAUGGAAAUAUUGGCUUCACUUAACAAUAGACUGCUAAAUGUGUACGUCUUAAAAAACUGAAUGAAUGCUGAGCCAGUCUGCUAAUUAAUGAAUGACUCGCUUUUUAUCAGCUCAAGCUUGUGUUUGGGGGAAUUUCUUUUUUCAAAUGAUGGAAAUGCGGCAUCUUAAACACUCUGCAGCGUUAGAGUCUGUGUAGCUACUUAACAUAUUUUUUUUGGUGGUUUACAAACUCAAUUAGAAUCCGGAGAUACUCAUUCUGAUGAAGGCAUAUAUUAGCGUAGUAGUAGUAUUAAACCCAUAACCAGUUGUAGCACGAGGCCCGAUAAUAACAUGAACUGGCUUCCGAGUUGACUAUUCUGUACCUGCGGGUGGGCAUACCACUAGAGUAAUAUUAAUGUUUAAUUAAAGCCUUUAAAAUAUCUGUGUUUUAUUCAUGUAGAUUUUACAAACAUUGAAAAUUGGUGAGUGUAUAAACUGCGCACUGAUCGGAUAG
Molecule: long non-coding RNA, 964 nt
Organism: Drosophila pseudoobscura
Lineage: Eukaryota; Metazoa; Arthropoda; Insecta; Diptera; Drosophilidae
Exons: 2
Source: RefSeq, a predicted model, not a curated record